AGAAUCAACGCUGGCGGCGUGCCUAACACAUGCAAGUCGAACGAGAAAGUGGAGCAAUCCAUUAGUAAAGUGGCGCACGGGUGAGUAACACGUGACUAACCUACCCUUGAGUGGGGGAUAACUUCGGGAAACCGAGGCUAAUACCGCAUAAUACCUACGGGUCAAAGGAGCAAUUCGCUUUAGGAGGGGGUCGCGGUCGAUUAGUUAGUUGGCGGGGUAAUGGCCCACCAAGACUGUGAUCGAUAUCCGGCCUGAGAGGGCGCACGGACACACUGGAACUGAAACACGGUCCAGACUCCUACGGGAGGCAGCAGUGGGGAAUCUUGCGCAAUGGGGGAAACCCUGACGCAGCAACGCCGCGUGGAGGAUGAAGUCCCUUGGGACGUAAACUCCUUUCGAUCGGGACGAUAAUGACUGUACCGGAAGAAGAAGCCCCGGCUAACUUCGCGCCAGCAGCCGC
RNAcentral lists this ribosomal RNA (460 nucleotides) under uncultured bacterium. RNAcentral describes it as "SSU rRNA". It matches the Rfam family "Bacterial small subunit ribosomal RNA", at positions 26 to 518 of the family's 1533-position model. The record is from RNAcentral.